CUGGAACGCGCCCCAGGCGCACCCAGAAACCCUUUGUGAACUUAUACCUUACUGUUGCCUCGGCGCAUGCCGGCCCCCCUGGGGGCCCCUCCUUCUGGAGGAGCAGGCACGCCGGCGGCCAACCUAACUCUUGUUUUUACACUGAAACUCUGAGAAUAAAACAUAAAUGAAUCA
This 174-nucleotide unclassified non-coding RNA is filed under the name uncultured Phomopsis. Its description in RNAcentral is "sequence contains ITS1". The record is from RNAcentral. Lineage: Eukaryota; Fungi; Ascomycota; Sordariomycetes; Diaporthales; Cytosporaceae.